RNAcentral lists this ribosomal RNA (1100 nucleotides) under uncultured bacterium. Its description in RNAcentral is "bacterial SSU rRNA". It matches the Rfam family "Bacterial small subunit ribosomal RNA", at positions 276 to 1399 of the family's 1533-position model. The record is from RNAcentral.
ACGAUCGGUAGCCGGACUGAGAGGUUGAACGGCCACAUUGGGACUGAGACACGGCCCAGACUCCUACGGGAGGCAGCAGUGGGGAAUAUUGCACAAUGGGGGAAACCCUGAUGCAGCGACGCCGCGUGGAGGAAGAAGGUCUUCGGAUUGUAAACUCCUGUUGUUGGGGAAGAUAAUGACGGUACCCAACAAGGAAGUGACGGCUAACUACGUGCCAGCAGCCGCGGUAAAACGUAGGUCACAAGCGUUGUCCGGAAUUACUGGGUGUAAAGGGAGCGCAGGCGGGAAGACAAGUUGGAAGUGAAAUCUAUGGGCUCAACCCAUAAACUGCUUUCAAAACUGUUUUUCUUGAGUAGUGCAGAGGUAGGCGGAAUUCCCGGUGUAACGGUGGAAUGCGUAGAUAUCGGGAGGAACACCAGUGGCGAAGGCGGCCUACUGGGCACCAACUGACGCUGAGGCUCGAAAGUGUGGGUAGCAAACAGAAUUAGAUACCCUGGUAGUCCACACCGUAAACGAUGAUUAGUAGGGUGUUGGAGGAUUGACCCCCUUCAGUGCCGCAGUUAACACAAUAAAUAAUCCACCUGGGGAGUACGACCGCAAGGUUGAAACUCAAAGGAAUUGACGGGGGCCCGCACAAGCAGUGGAGUAUGUGGUUUAAUUCGACGCAACGCGAAGAACCUUACCAAGUCUUGACAUCCCUUGACAGGCAUAGAAAUAUGUUUUCUCUUCGGAGCAAGGAGACAGGUGGUGCAUGGUUGUCGUCAGCUCGUGUCGUGAGAUGUUGGGUUAAGUCCCGCAACGAGCGCAACCCUUAUGGUCAGUUACUACGCAAGAGGACUCUGGCCAGACUGCCGUUGACAAAACGGAGGAAGGUGGGGAUGACGUCAAAUCAUCAUGCCCUUUAUGACUUGGGCUACACACGUACUACAAUGGCGUUAAACAAAGAGAAGCAAGACCGCGAGGUGGAGCAAAACUCAGAAACAACGUCCCAGUUCGGACUGCAGGCUGCAACUCGCCUGCACGAAGUCGGAAUUGCUAGUAAUCGUGGAUCAGCAUGCCACGGUGAAUACGUUCCCGGGCCUUGCACUCACCGCCCGUCA